RNAcentral lists this ribosomal RNA (388 nucleotides) under uncultured bacterium. RNAcentral's name for it is "bacterial SSU rRNA". It matches the Rfam family "Bacterial small subunit ribosomal RNA", at positions 28 to 417 of the family's 1533-position model. The record is from RNAcentral.
AAUCAACGCUGGCGGCGUGCCUAACACAUGCAAGUCGAACGCGAAAGUCCCGCAAGGGAUUAGUAGAGUGGCAAACGGGUGAGUAACACGUGGGCAACCUGCCCUCAGCUCUGGGAUAACUCCAAGAAAUUGGGGCUAAUACCGGAUAUGACUGCUGACCGCAUGGUCUGGUGGUGGAAAGAUUUAUCGGCUGGGGAUGGGCCCGCGGCCUAUCAGCUUGUUGGUGGGGUAGGGCCUACCAAGGCGACGACGGGUAGCCGGCCUGAGAGGGUGACCGGCCACACUGGGACUGAGACACGGCCCAGACUCCUACGGGAGGCAGCAGUGGGGAAUCUUGCGCAAUGGGCGAAAGCCUGACGCAGCGACGCCGCGUGAGGGAUGACGGCCU